RNAcentral lists this ribosomal RNA (217 nucleotides) under Symbiodinium sp. clade D. RNAcentral's name for it is "partial Bacterial large subunit ribosomal RNA". It matches the Rfam family "Bacterial large subunit ribosomal RNA", at positions 216 to 467 of the family's 2925-position model. Lineage: Eukaryota; Dinophyceae; Suessiales; Symbiodiniaceae. The record is from RNAcentral.
GAAAAGAAAUCAACCGAGAUUCCCUCAGUAGCGGCGAGCGAACGGGGAAAAGCCUGGCAUAUUUUAGCAAGAAUCAUAGCAGAACGACUUGGGAAGGUCGGCCAUAGACGGUGAUAGCCCGGUAUGCGAAAUGUCUCUUGUGGAACUAGGUAUGCGAACAAGUAGAGCGGAACACGUGAAAUUCUGUUUGAAGAUGGGGGGACCAUCCUCCAAGGCU